This 279-nucleotide ribosomal RNA is filed under the name uncultured bacterium. RNAcentral's name for it is "partial 16S ribosomal RNA". It matches the Rfam family "Bacterial small subunit ribosomal RNA", at positions 506 to 784 of the family's 1533-position model. The record is from RNAcentral.
UGCCAGCCGCCGCGGUAAUACGUAGGGUGCAAGCGUUGUCCGGAUUUAUUGGGUUUAAAGGGUGCGUAGGCGGAUAAUUAAGUCUUGGGUGAAAGCCUACCGCUCAACGGUAGAACUGCCUGAGAAACUGGUUGUCUUGAGUAUAGUUGAGGUAGCUGGAAUUGGUGGUGUAGCGGUGAAAUGCAUAGAUACCACCAGGAACACCUAUUGCGAAGGCAAGUUACUAAGCUAUAACUGACGCUGAGGCACGAAAGCGUGGGGAGCGAACAGGAUUAGAUA